RNAcentral lists this ribosomal RNA (1078 nucleotides) under uncultured bacterium. Its description in RNAcentral is "bacterial SSU rRNA". It matches the Rfam family "Bacterial small subunit ribosomal RNA", at positions 184 to 1269 of the family's 1533-position model. The record is from RNAcentral.
AAUGGCAUCGUUUUAAAGUUAAAGAUUUAUCGGUAGAAGAUGACUAUGCGUCCUAUUAGCUAGAUGGUAAGGUAACGGCUUACCAUGGCAACGAUAGGUAGGGGUCCUGAGAGGGAGAUCCCCCACACUGGUACUGAGACACGGACCAGACUCCUACGGGAGGCAGCAGUGAGGAAUAUUGGGCAAUGGAGGCAACUCUGACCCAGCCAUGCCGCGUGCAGGAAGACUGCCCUAUGGGUUGUAAACUGCUUUUAUACAGGAAGAAACGUGCCUACGAGUAGGUGUUUGACGGUACUGUAAGAAUAAGGACCGGCUAACUCCGUGCCAGCAGCCGCGGUAAUACGGAGGGUCCGAGCGUUAUCCGGAAUCAUUGGGUUUAAAGGGUCCGCAGGCGGUCGAUUAAGUCAGAGGUGAAAUCCCAUAGCUUAACUAUGGAACUGCCUUUGAUACUGGUUGACUUGAGUGAUACGGAAGUAGAUAGAAUAUGUAGUGUAGCGGUGAAAUGCAUAGAUAUUACAUAGAAUACCGAUUGCGAAGGCAGUCUACUACGUAUUUACUGACGCUCAUGGACGAAAGCGUGGGGAGCGAACAGGAUUAGAUACCCUGGUAGUCCACGCCGUAAACGAUGGACACUAGUUGUUGGGAAUUAUCUCAGUGACUAAGCGAAAGUGAUAAGUGUCCCACCUGGGGAGUACGAUCGCAAGAUUGAAACUCAAAGGAAUUGACGGGGGCCCGCACAAGCGGUGGAGCAUGUGGUUUAAUUCGAUGAUACGCGAGGAACCUUACCAGGGCUUAAAUGUGGAAUGACAGGGCCAGAGAUAGCUUUUUCUUCGGACAUUUCACAAGGUGCUGCAUGGUUGUCGUCAGCUCGUGCCGUGAGGUGUCAGGUUAAGUCCUAUAACGAGCGCAACCCCUAUUGUUAGUUGCUAGCAGGUAAAGCUGAGGACUCUAGCGAGACUGCCGGUGCAAACCGUGAGGAAGGUGGGGAUGACGUCAAAUCAUCACGGCCCUUACGUCCUGGGCUACACACGUGCUACAAUGGUAUGGACAAUGAGCAGCCAUCUGGCAACAGAGAGCG